Molecule: ribosomal RNA, 282 nt
Filed under: uncultured Streptococcus sp.
Lineage: Bacteria; Bacillati; Bacillota; Bacilli; Lactobacillales; Streptococcaceae
Description: partial 16S ribosomal RNA
Rfam family: Bacterial small subunit ribosomal RNA
Source: RNAcentral
CGUGAGUGAAGAAGGUUUUCGGAUCGUAAAGCUCUGUUGUAAGAGAAGAACGUGUGUGAGAGUGGAAAGUUCACACAGUGACGGUAACUUACCAGAAAGGGACGGCUAACUACGUGCCAGCAGCCGCGGUAAUACGUAGGUCCCGAGCGUUGUCCGGAUUUAUUGGGCGUAAAGCGAGCGCAGGCGGUUUAAUAAGUCUGAAGUUAAAGGCAGUGGCUUAACCAUUGUUCGCUUUGGAAACUGUUAGACUUGAGUGCAGAAGGGGAGAGUGGAAUUCCAUGU